CCGGGUGCUUACACAUGCAAGUCGAACGGUGAAGCCAAGCUUGCUUGGUGGAUCAGUGGCGAACGGGUGAGUAACACGUGAGCAACCUGCCCUGGACUCUGGGAUAAGCGCUGGAAACGGCGUCUAAUACUGGAUAUGAGACGUGAUCGCAUGGUCGUGUUUGGAAAGAUUUUUCGGUCUGGGAUGGGCUCGCGGCCUAUCAGCUUGUUGGUGAGGUAAUGGCUCACCAAGGCGUCGACGGGUAGCCGGCCUGAGAGGGUGACCGGCCACACUGGGACUGAGACACGGCCCAGACUCCUACGGGAGGCAGCAGUGGGGAAUAUUGCACAAUGGGCGAAAGCCUGAUGCAGCAACGCCGCGUGAGGGAUGACGGCCUUCGGGUUGUAAACCUCUUUUAGCAGGGAAGAAGCGAAAGUGACGGUACCUGCAGAAAAAGCGCCGGCUAACUACGUGCCAGCAGCCGCGGUAAUACGUAGGGCGCAAGCGUUAUCCGGAAUUAUUGGGCGUAAAGAGCUCGUAGGCGGUUUGUCGCGUCUGCUGUGAAAUCCCGAGGCUCAACCUCGGGCCUGCAGUGGGUACGGGCAGACUAGAGUGCGGUAGGGGAGAUUGGAAUUCCUGGUGUAGCGGUGG
Molecule: ribosomal RNA, 630 nt
Filed under: Microbacterium testaceum
Lineage: Bacteria; Bacillati; Actinomycetota; Actinomycetes; Micrococcales; Microbacteriaceae
Description: bacterial SSU rRNA
Rfam family: Bacterial small subunit ribosomal RNA
Source: RNAcentral